This 424-nucleotide ribosomal RNA is filed under the name Verrucomicrobiota bacterium. RNAcentral describes it as "Verrucomicrobia bacterium partial 16S ribosomal RNA". It matches the Rfam family "Bacterial small subunit ribosomal RNA", at positions 355 to 776 of the family's 1533-position model. Lineage: Bacteria; Pseudomonadati; Verrucomicrobiota. The record is from RNAcentral.
UGAGGAAUAUUGGUCAAUGGACGCAAGUCUGAACCAGCCAAGUAGCGUGCAGGAUGACGGCCCUAUGGGUUGUAAACUGCUUUUAUAUGGGAAUAAAGUGAGGGACGUGUCCCUUAUUGCAUGUACCAUACGAAUAAGGACCGGCUAAUUCCGUGCCAGCAGCCGCGGUAAUACGGAAGGUCCAGGCGUUAUCCGGAUUUAUUGGGUUUAAAGGGAGCGUAGGCUGUUUGUUAAGCGUGUUGUGAAAUGUAAGAGCUCAACUUUUAGAUUGCAGCGCGAACUGGCAGACUUGAGUGCGCACAACGUAGGCGGAAUUCAUGGUGUAGCGAUGAAAUGCUUAGAUAUCAUGACGAACUCCGAUUGCGAAGGCAGCUUACGGGAGCGCAACUGACGCUAAAGCUCGAAGGUGCGGGUAUCGAACAGG